UCCGGAGGUGAACCUGCGGAAGGAUCAUAG
RNAcentral lists this ribosomal RNA (30 nucleotides) under Tulasnella sp. Am9. RNAcentral describes it as "Epulorhiza sp. Am9 partial 18S ribosomal RNA". Lineage: Eukaryota; Fungi; Basidiomycota; Agaricomycetes; Cantharellales; Tulasnellaceae. The record is from RNAcentral.